Molecule: ribosomal RNA, 459 nt
Filed under: uncultured bacterium
Lineage: Bacteria
Description: bacterial SSU rRNA
Rfam family: Bacterial small subunit ribosomal RNA
Source: RNAcentral
UGCUUAACACAUGCAAGUCGAACGGAAACGAAACUAGCUUGCUAGUUGGCGUCGAGUGGCGGACGGGUGAGUAACGCGUAGGAAUCUACCUAGUAGUGGGGGAUAGCCCGAAGAAAUUCGGAUUAAUACCGCAUAAUCUAUUCGUAGUAAAGUGGGGGACUUUCGAGCCUCACGCUAUUAGAUGAGCCUGCGUAAGAUUAGCUUGUUGGUAGGGUAAAAGCCUACCAAGGCUACGAUCUUUAGCUGGUCUGAGAGGAUGAUCAGCCACAUCGGGACUGAGACACGGCCCGAACUCCUACGGGAGGCAGCAGUGGGGAAUAUUGGACAAUGGGGGCAACCCUGAUCCAGCAAUACCGCGUGUGUGAAGAAGGCCUGAGGGUUGUAAAGCACUUUCAAUUGUGAAGAAAAGUUAACGGUUAAUAACCGUUAGCCUUGACGUUAACUUUAGAAGAAGCACCG